RNAcentral lists this ribosomal RNA (253 nucleotides) under uncultured bacterium. RNAcentral's name for it is "partial 16S ribosomal RNA". It matches the Rfam family "Bacterial small subunit ribosomal RNA", at positions 524 to 776 of the family's 1533-position model. The record is from RNAcentral.
UACGAAGGAUCCAAGCGUUAUCCGGAUUUAUUGGGUUUAAAGGGUGCGUAGGCGGAUUGAUAAGUCAAUGGUGAAAGCCCCAAGCUUAACUUGGGAAUUGCCGUUGAUACUGUCAGUCUUGAGUACAUUUGAGGUGGGCGGAAUGUGUCAUGUAGCGGUGAAAUGCUUAGAUAUGACACAGAACACCGAUUGCGAAGGCAGCUCGCUAAAUUGUAACUGACGCUGAGGCACGAAAGCGUGGGGAUCAAACAGG